AUCAUUACAACAAAGAAAAGAGUGGCUGUAGCUCCUACCUCAAGGCAUAGUGCGGUCUGGAAUUUGUCGGUUGGAGUCAGAGCUGCAUCACACCAGUGCUUGGCAAAAAGCUUCUUAGCUAGCUGCCUCUGCAGUUCAACAUCGUCUGGAAGCUCCCACCUGUUUCCGUACCUGCAGAUCUGUUCUCCUCUUCCUGCAAAAAGCACUAUUUUGAUGUUCUGACUGUUCUGGGAGAUGAUGUUCUGAUAGCCAGCAAAAUUAUUAUUCUAAGAUGGUAAGGUAUUACAUGCCAUCGUUGGCAUCUGCCUAAUGAUGUUUUCAAUGAUGUUCUCAAAAGUGAAGGUGGACAGAGGCAAACGAUAAACUGCCUGUUUCAUAGUAGGUAGGUGCUGCUGAUUAAGGUAAGGUCUAAAAUGGUGACAUUCUUCCAGUUAUUUUAAUCUAGUUCAAAAAGGGAUGAAGCUGGUCUUGUGUCUAUUUUAUAACUCUUUCUCUGGAUACAAUCUGUUUGAGCUGGCUAAACUCUGAAGAGCACAUGUUAAUAAAUAAAUUAAUUAAUUAAUAAUUAAAGUGGCU
RNAcentral lists this long non-coding RNA (576 nucleotides) under Anas platyrhynchos platyrhynchos (common mallard). Its description in RNAcentral is "lncRNA (ENSAPLG00000028336.1)". The record is from RNAcentral. Lineage: Eukaryota; Metazoa; Chordata; Aves; Anseriformes; Anatidae.